UUAUUGGUAGGUUAUAUAAACUGACAAAUUGUGGUUUUGUUGAUUACUUUUUUGUACCAGUAAA
This 64-nucleotide transfer RNA is filed under the name Drepanidotaenia lanceolata. RNAcentral's name for it is "tRNA-His". The record is from RNAcentral. Lineage: Eukaryota; Metazoa; Platyhelminthes; Cestoda; Cyclophyllidea; Hymenolepididae.